GUGGCCACUGUGUUCUCCCUGAGCCCUGUCCCUUGGCAGUGAGAGAAGCUGUCCCUGGUGACCUAUGCAGGUGCCAGUGACAUCUCCCUGCUGGUGCCAUUGAGUGUCUGGAAUUCUGGAGUGACUACGGACAUAGCUGAUGAACUUCCAGGAACACUUAGGAAGUGGGUAGAAUGAAGACAGCAGCUAGAGACCUGGGUGUCAGCAUCCAGACCUUUCUGCAUCACUGAGUGACUUCAAGAAGGGCUGUCCUCUCCUCUGGCCCCCACCAGACCAGCAUCCUCCCGUCCCCAACAUGAUUCCUGAUCCUGGUGAGCCACCAGAGGAAAGGCAGGACUCUCCACGUCUGGAAGGCCUGGAAGUCCAUCCUGAAGUCUGCCUGCCCAAGGUUUGGGCUACAAUGCUGCUUCUGACCUGGGGCCAGCGAGUGCUUUACUGCCCACCCUGCCCUCACCCUCUCUCCCUGUGGAUGGCCAGCCUACGUCCAGCACCACGGACAGCUCCCUGGCGGCCACAAGCAGGGAGCUGGAUGGGAAGUGGAGUAACCAGGAAACAUAUUGGCACUCAUGUGGGAUGUCAGCACUUGCAAGUAGUGGUAGAGACCCAGCCACCUUAAGCCAUCCCUUGCCACCUCCCUGGUUACACAGCGGCAGAAAGCUGAUACCUGAAUGCCACCGGCUGCUAUUGCUGCACUCCUGGGAGAUGCAGACACCCUGGAUGGUAUCCCAACCACUAUGCCACAUGCCUGCCAU
Long non-coding RNA from Ochotona princeps (American pika), 752 nucleotides. RefSeq lists it as uncharacterized. Lineage: Eukaryota; Metazoa; Chordata; Mammalia; Lagomorpha; Ochotonidae. The transcript is spliced from 4 exons. The record is from RefSeq and is a predicted model, not a curated record.